RNAcentral lists this ribosomal RNA (253 nucleotides) under uncultured bacterium. RNAcentral's name for it is "partial 16S ribosomal RNA". It matches the Rfam family "Bacterial small subunit ribosomal RNA", at positions 524 to 776 of the family's 1533-position model. The record is from RNAcentral.
UACGAAGGGGGCUAGCGUUGCUCGGAUUUACUGGGCGUAAAGGGCGCGUAGGCGGACAGUUUAGUCAGAGGUGAAAGCCCAGGGCUCAACCUUGGAAUUGCCUUUGAUACUGGCUGUCUUGAGUUCGGGAGAGGUGAGUGGAACUGCGAGUGUAGAGGUGAAAUUCGUAGAUAUUCGCAAGAACACCAGUGGCGAAGGCGGCUCACUGGCCCGAUACUGACGCUGAGGCACGAAAGCGUGGGGAGCAAACAGG